Molecule: ribosomal RNA, 497 nt
Filed under: uncultured bacterium
Lineage: Bacteria
Description: partial 16S ribosomal RNA
Rfam family: Bacterial small subunit ribosomal RNA
Source: RNAcentral
GAUGAACGCUGGCGGCGUGCCUAAUACAUGCAAGUCGAGCGAACAGACGAUGAGCUUGCUCCUCUGACGUUAGCGGCGGACGUGUGAGUAACACGUGGAUAACCUACCUAUAAGACUGGGAUAACUUCGGGAAACCGGAGCUAAUACCGGAUAAUAUAUUGAUCCGCAUGGUUCAAUAGUUAAAGACGGUUUUGCUGUCACUUAUAGAUGGAUCCGCGCCGCAUUAGCUAGUUGGUAAGGUAACGGCUUACCAAGGCAACGAUGCGUAGCCGACCUGAGAGAGUGAUCGGCCACACUAGAACUGAGACACGGUCCAGACUACUACGGGAGGCAGCAGUAGGGAAUCUUCCGCAAUGGGCGAAAGCUUGACGGAGCAACGCCGCGUGAGUGAUGAAGGUCUUCGGAUCGUAAAACUCUGUUAUUAGGGAAGAACAAAUGUGUAAGUAACUAUGCACGUCUUGACGGUACCUAAUCAGAAAGCCACGGCUAACUACGUG